UUCGAGUCGUUGAUUUCACACUGCCGAGAAAAGCCUCUAGAUAGAAAAUAGGUGCCCGUACCGCAAACCGACACAGGUAGUCAAGAUGAGAAUUCUAAGGUGAGCGAGCGAACUCUCGUUAAGGAACUCGGCAAAAUGACCCCGUAACUUCGGGAGAAGGGGUGCUCUUUAGGGUUAACGCCCAGAAGAGCCGCAGUGAAUAGGCCCAAGCGACUGUUUAUCAAAAACACAGGUCUCUGCUAAACCGUAAGGUGAUGUAUAGGGGCUGACGCCUGCCCGGUGCUGGAAGGUUAAGAGGAGUGGUUAGCUUCUGCGAAGCUACGAAUCGAAGCCCCAGUAAACGGCGGCCGUAACUAUAACGGUCCUAAGGUAGCGAAAUUCCUUGUCGGGUAAGUUCCGACCCGCACGAAAGGCGUAACGAUUUGGGCACUGUCUCAACGAGAGACUCGGUGAAAUCAUAGUACCUGUGAAGAUGCAGGUUACCCGCGACAGGACGGAAAGACCCCGUGGAGCUUUACUGUAGCCUGAUAUUGAAAUUCGGCACAGCUUGUACAGGAUAGGUAGGAGCCUUUGAAACGUGAGCGCUAGCUUACGUGGAGGCGCUGGUGGGAUACUACCCUAGCUGUGUUGGCUUUCUAACCCGCACCACUUAUCGUGGUGGGAGACAGUGUCAGGCGGGCAGUUUGACUGGGGCGGUCGCCUCCUAAAAGGUAACGGAGGCGCUCAAAGGUUCCCUCAGAAUGGUUGGAAAUCAUUCAUAGAGUGUAAAGGCAUAAGGGAGCUUGACUGCGAGACCUACAAGUCGAGCAGGGUCGAAAGACGGACUUAGUGAUCCGGUGGUUCCGCAUGGAAGGGCCAUCGCUCAACGGAUAAAAGCUACCCCGGGGAUAACAGGCUUAUCUCCCCCAAGAGUUCACAUCGACGGGGAGGUUUGGCACCUCGAUGUCGGCUCAUCGCAUCCUGGGGCUGUAGUCGGUCCCAAGGGUUGGGCUGUUCGCCCAUUAAAGCGGUACGCGAGCUGGGUUCAGAACGUCGUGAGACAGUUCGGUCCCUAUCCGUCGUGGGCGUAGGAAAUUUGAGAGGAGCUGUCCUUAGUACGAGAGGACCGGGAUGGACAUACCUCUGGUGUACCAGUUGUCGUGCCAACGGCAUAGCUGGGUAGCUAUGUGUGGACGGGAUAAGUGCUGAAAGCAUCUAAGCAUGAAGCCCCCCUCAAGAUGAGAUUUCCCAACUUCGGUUAUAAGAUCCCUCAAAGAUGAUGAGGUUAAUAGGUUCGAGGUGGAAGCAUGGU
RNAcentral lists this ribosomal RNA (1291 nucleotides) under Staphylococcus aureus. RNAcentral's name for it is "partial 23S ribosomal RNA". It matches the Rfam family "Bacterial large subunit ribosomal RNA", at positions 1585 to 2879 of the family's 2925-position model. Lineage: Bacteria; Bacillati; Bacillota; Bacilli; Caryophanales; Staphylococcaceae. The record is from RNAcentral.